AGUGAACGCUGGCGGUAGGCCUAACACAUGCAAGUCGAACGGCAGCACAGUAAGAGCUUGCUCUUACGGGUGGCGAGUGGCGGACGGGUGAGGAAUACAUCGGAAUCUACUUUUUCGUGGGGGAUAACGUAGGGAAACUUACGCUAAUACCGCAUACGACCUACGGGUGAAAGCAGGGGAUCUUCGGACCUUGCGCGAUUGAAUGAGCCGAUGUCGGAUUAGCUAGUUGGCGGGGUAAAGGCCCACCAAGGCGACGAUCCGUAGCUGGUCUGAGAGGAUGAUCAGCCACACUGGAACUGGGACACGGUCCAGACUCCUACGGGAGGCAGCAGUGGGGAAUAUUGGACAAUGGGCGCAAGCCUGAUCCAGCCAUACCGCGUGGGUGAAGAAGGCCUUCGGGUUGUAAAGCCCUUUUGUUGGGAAAGAAAAGCAGCAGGUUAAUACCCCGCUGUUCUGACGGUACCAAAAGAAUAAGCACCGGCUAACUUCGUG
RNAcentral lists this ribosomal RNA (492 nucleotides) under uncultured bacterium. RNAcentral's name for it is "partial 16S ribosomal RNA". It matches the Rfam family "Bacterial small subunit ribosomal RNA", at positions 29 to 507 of the family's 1533-position model. The record is from RNAcentral.